RNAcentral lists this ribosomal RNA (372 nucleotides) under uncultured organism. Its description in RNAcentral is "bacterial SSU rRNA". It matches the Rfam family "Bacterial small subunit ribosomal RNA", at positions 526 to 896 of the family's 1533-position model. The record is from RNAcentral.
CGGGGGGGGCAAGCGUUGUUCGGAAUUACUGGGCGUAAAGGGCUCGUAGGCGGCCAACUAAGUCGGAUGUGAAAUCCCCAGGCUUAACUUGGGAACUGCAUCCGAUACUGGAUGGCUUGAAUCCGGGAGAGGGAUGCGGAAUUCCAGGUGUAGCGGUGAAAUGCGUAGAUAUCUGGAGGAACACCGGUGGCGAAGGCGGCAUCCUGGACCGGCAUUGACGCUGAUGAGCGAAAGCCAGGGGAGCAAACGGGAUUAGAUACCCCGGUAGUCCUGGCCCUAAACGAUGAAUGCUUGGUGUGGCGGGUAUCGAUCCCUGCCGUGCCGAAGCUAACGCAUUAAGCAUUCCGCCUGGGGAGUACGGUCGCAAGGCUG